This 480-nucleotide ribosomal RNA is filed under the name Pseudomonas sp. 01WB03.3-32. RNAcentral describes it as "bacterial SSU rRNA". It matches the Rfam family "Bacterial small subunit ribosomal RNA", at positions 1 to 484 of the family's 1533-position model. Lineage: Bacteria; Pseudomonadati; Pseudomonadota; Gammaproteobacteria; Pseudomonadales; Pseudomonadaceae. The record is from RNAcentral.
UGAGUUUGAUCAUGGCUCAGAUUGAACGCUGGCGGCAGGCCUAACACAUGCAAGUCGAGCGGUAGAGAGAAGCUUGCUUCUCUUGAGAGCGGCGGACGGGUGAGUAAUGCCUAGGAAUCUGCCUGGUAGUGGGGGAUAACGUUCGGAAACGGACGCUAAUACCGCAUACGUCCUACGGGAGAAAGCAGGGGACCUUCGGGCCUUGCGCUAUCAGAUGAGCCUAGGUCGGAUUAGCUAGUUGGUGGGGUAAUGGCUCACCAAGGCGACGAUCCGUAACUGGUCUGAGAGGAUGAUCAGUCACACUGGAACUGAGACACGGUCCAGACUCCUACGGGAGGCAGCAGUGGGGAAUAUUGGACAAUGGGCGAAAGCCUGAUCCAGCCAUGCCGCGUGUGUGAAGAAGGUCUUCGGAUUGUAAAGCACUUUAAGUUGGGAGGAAGGGCAGUUACCUAAUACGUGAUUGUUUUGACGUACCGACAG